Molecule: ribosomal RNA, 329 nt
Filed under: uncultured eukaryote
Lineage: Eukaryota
Description: partial 18S ribosomal RNA
Rfam family: Eukaryotic small subunit ribosomal RNA
Source: RNAcentral
CCCUUAGAUGUUCUGGGCCGCACGCGCGCUACACUGAUGCAUUCAACGAGUCUAAAACCUGCUCUGAUAGGGGUGGGUAAUCUUUUGAAUGUGCAUCGUGAUUGGGAUAGAUGAUUGCAAUUUUUCAUCUUCAACGAGGAAUGCCUAGUAAACGCAAGUCAUCAGCUUGCAUUGAUUACGUCCCUGCCCUUUGUACACACCGCCCGUCGCUCCUACCAAUUGAAUGAUCCGAUGAAUAUCAUGGAUUGAGGAUUAUAGCAGGUUCGCCUGUCUUGAUCUUCGAGAAGUGAAGUAAAUCUUAUCAUUUAGAGGAAGGAGAAGUCGUAACA